UACGUAGGGUGCAAGCGUUGUCCGGAAUUAUUGGGCGUAAAGAGCUCGUAGGCGGUCUGUCGCGUCUGCUGUGAAAACUCGGGGCUUAACCCCGGGCCUGCAGUGGGUACGGGCAGACUAGAGGUAUGCAGGGGAGAACGGAAUUCCUGGUGUAGCGGUGGAAUGCGCAGAUAUCAGGAGGAACACCGGUGGCGUAGGCGGUUCUCUGGGCAUUACCUGACGCUGAGGAGCGAAAGUGUGGGGAGCGAACAGG
This 253-nucleotide ribosomal RNA is filed under the name uncultured bacterium. Its description in RNAcentral is "partial 16S ribosomal RNA". It matches the Rfam family "Bacterial small subunit ribosomal RNA", at positions 524 to 776 of the family's 1533-position model. The record is from RNAcentral.